UUGACAUCAGGCAAUGCUCGAUUGUCACUAAUCUGCACAAGACAGAAAGAACCCAAACAAAGUGUUCAGCAGAUUGGAUGCAGCAAGGAUGCUAUAACAUUAUUUCACAUGUUCAUAUACGAAAUGAUCAGGAAUUGUUAUACAAAAUCUAAUUUCAAACAAUGCCUUAACAUGAAAACUGACCAUUCCGACCAUGGGUGGAACAGGAGCAGCUGGAUUCCCAUUGCUAGUCCCAGGAUUCGGAUUGGCAGCAGCAAAAUUUGGCAUUGAAGGGGCCUGUAUGUAUAUCAUGUCAAACGAUUAACUCCCAUUAGGUCUGAUACAUCCUUUUUGUAGGCAAAUCAAGGUUAAAAUACCAAUAUCGA
RNAcentral lists this long non-coding RNA (365 nucleotides) under Linum usitatissimum (flax). RNAcentral describes it as "long non-coding RNA (LUSI_LNC001314)". The record is from RNAcentral. Lineage: Eukaryota; Viridiplantae; Streptophyta; Magnoliopsida; Malpighiales; Linaceae.